This is a non-coding RNA of Deltaproteobacteria bacterium GWA2_45_12, 72 nucleotides long. Lineage: Bacteria; Deltaproteobacteria. The record is from Rfam.
GCGGGAGUAGCUCAGUGGUAGAGCUCUUCGUUGCCAACGAAGAGGUCGCGGGUUCGAGCCCCGUCUCCCGCU